Long non-coding RNA from Cyprinus carpio carpio, 1629 nucleotides. Lineage: Eukaryota; Metazoa; Chordata; Actinopteri; Cypriniformes; Cyprinidae. The record is from Ensembl.
GCCACCUUUGAAUACACUCAGAAAAAUGUAAAAAAGCUGUCAAAAGGUUGGUACCUUUUCGAGCGCUACACAUUUGUACCUAAAAGGUCCAUACUGGCACUCUUAAAUGCAUGUUAGUGUAGUACUUUUGAAAAGGUACGACUCCAGUGACAGCGUUUGUAUCUUUUUUCUGAGAGUGUAGAUAAAAGUUGAAGAAACUAAUAUGAUAUGGAUAAAACAAGUUUUUGGAUCUUUUCAACUUUUUUGUUACAAUUUCAAGUUUUUUCCCAGGGUGGGAGAGUUUGGGUGUGGGCUCACAUACUCGCGUGAGAGCAAGUCCUGAUGUAAGUAGCUGUUCAGGGUCUGAUACAGGGAAUGAUUCUGAUUGGUCAGCAGACUGAAGGGCAGAGACAUGAUAAGGAUGGAACAGCCUUUGUGUCAUCAUAUGCAAAUGAGCAACAAGCAUUAAAACUCACGACCAAGGGAGCAGCGUUUACGAUCGCUUAAUGGCAUGGAGACAACAGAUUUGUGAAAACAAAAAGACGGGUAAAGGUGACAGAUGAAAGCAAUUAAGAUGUUUUUUAAACACUUCCUGCAGGAGGACUGAGGACACAGAUCUAAAGACAGGAUAUCAUCGUAUACUGUAAGUUCAUUAUUGAGACACUACAGUAUAGAUGAUGUACUAUCCAGGGGGUCAAUACACCUCCGACUGUUUCCUGUGGACCCAAAACCUUUGUGACAGAGAGGGGCGGUGAAACCGUUACCAUUACUGAGUUUAGUAAUGGUAAGGGUUCUCUUGCCUUCUCUCAAAAAUCAUCUGGACAUGAGAGGACCAAGCAUGAGUCGAGUGAACUUCAGAGCAACGGAUGAAGCAGUCAAAACCAGAAGAGUGAACAGAUGGACAAAAUGUUAAGCAGAUUAAAUCAACUAACAAUGAAAUUCUGAUCAUUCUUAUUCUAUACAACUUUAUAGCCUAUAAUGUGUUAUAUGAGACUGCCAUUGUGAGUAAUUGUAAUAAAUAUCACUGAAUUUGAAAUUAAACAUUUUGCUUGUUUUGUUUCAUUAUCUAUAAUUAUUUUUACAAAACCCUUCAUUUUACACAGAGAGGCAGCAUAUGCGGUUGGUAAAAUGCUUACUUGUGCUACUAGGAGCCAAGGAAAUAAUGGAUGAGAAUCUCUGCUUAAACUUUAAUGAAUUUACAAUUAACUGAUGCAGCCAAUGAAAUAAAAUGAAAAGCCAGUGUAAGGAUAAAAUUAAUGAGAGACAUUCCAUUGCUUUAGGCCAGCUAGAUGUAAGCAUAUAAUACUUCAUGGAGUUCUAGUGCAAAAAGCGCAUCUUAUCACCAUUUUGAAACUCACUUCGGCAGCAGGUUAGCUGCACUCUUCAUUAGAAAGGUUAUCUAACCCUCUAGGGCCUAGGCACUGGAACUUUAAAUGGCUUUUUCCAUGAGUUUUGAAAUUUGAAUUAUUUACGUUUUGAUUUUAAAGAAAACAAACAUAUAUACUUUUUUUUUUAAGAAAUUAAAAAAGUAAUUGUAAAGUAUACUUUGAUUCAUUUCAAAUAAAAGUAAAUCCUGUUCUUUUGGACUUUCUAUUCAUUAAAGAAUCCUGAAAAACAUGUCACAGUUUCCACAAAACUAUUAGGCAGCAC